GAUGAACGCUGGCGGCGUGCCUAAUACAUGCAAGUCGAGCGAACGGACGAGAAGCUUGCUUCUCUGAUGUUAGCGGCGGACGGGUGAGUAACACGUGGAUAACCUACCUAUAAGACUGGGAUAACUUCGGGAAACCGUAGCUAAUACCGGAUAAUCUUUUGAACCGUAUGGUUCAAAAGUGAAAGACGGUCUUGCUGUCACUUAUAGAUGGAUCCGCGCUGCAUUAGCUAGUUGGUAAGGUAACGGCUUAUCAAGGCAACGAUGCAUAGCCGACCGGAGAGGGGGGUCGGCGACAUGGGAAGUGGGACGGGGACCAGAGGCCUGCGAGAGGCAGCAGUAGGGAAUCUUCCGCAGUAGGCGAAAGCAUGACGGAGCAGCGGCACGUGAGUUGUGACAGUCUUCGGAGCGUAAAACUCGGUUAUUAGGGAAGAACAUAUGUGUAAGUAGCUGUGCACAGCUUGACGGUACCUAAUCAGAAAGCCACGGCUAACUACGUG
Molecule: ribosomal RNA, 497 nt
Filed under: uncultured bacterium
Lineage: Bacteria
Description: partial 16S ribosomal RNA
Rfam family: Bacterial small subunit ribosomal RNA
Source: RNAcentral